GCAAGCAAGUGCAAGAAAAAUCAAAGAAAAACCAAAGAAGAAAGGAAAGAGAGACUUGAUUGGAAAACUGCCAAAACAGAAGGGAAUUCGAAGAGAACAACCCCUAGUACUCGAAAUCGAGCUGUAAACGGUGCUAUCGAAGGGUAAACCGAUCAAGGUAUAUUAGCAUGCCGGGUACCCCGGAGACAAGCAGGAGAAAAGGCUACGAGGAGGCCGAUGUUUAAUUUAACUCCAUGUUGAUCAUGUGCUAUGGAUCUUAUGUAGCCUUUGCAUUUAUUUGAGACUUGUGUAUCGCAAUUGUAUAAACAGGGGUUAUGUAAGGCUUCCAUGAUAUGGGUUUAUUCGCUAGUUUGGGCGUGA
Molecule: long non-coding RNA, 360 nt
Organism: Diospyros lotus (date-plum)
Lineage: Eukaryota; Viridiplantae; Streptophyta; Magnoliopsida; Ericales; Ebenaceae
Exons: 3
Source: RefSeq, a predicted model, not a curated record